AGUGAACGCUGGCGGUAGGCCUAACACAUGCAAGUCGAACGGCAGCACAGUAAGAGCUUGCUCUUACGGGUGGCGAGUGGCGGACGGGUGAGGAAUACAUCGGAAUCUACUUUUUCGUGGGGGAUAACGUAGGGAAACUUACGCUAAUACCGCAUACGUCCUACGGGUGAAAUCAGGGGAUCUUCGGACCUUGCGCGAUUGAAUGAGCCGAUGUCGGAUUAGCUAGUUGGCGGGGUAAAGGCCCACCAAGGCGACGAUCCGUAGCUGGUCUGAGAGGAUGAUCAGCCACACUGGAACUGAGACACGGUCCAGACUCCUACGGGAGGCAGCAGUGGGGAAUAUUGGACAAUGGGCGAAAGCCUGAUCCAGCCAUACCGCGUGGGUGAAGAAGGCCUUCGGGUUGUAAAGCCCUGUUGUUGGGAAAGAAAAGCAGCAGGUGAAUACCCCGCUGUUCUGACGGUACCCAAAGAAUAAGCACCGGCUAACUUCGUG
Molecule: ribosomal RNA, 492 nt
Filed under: uncultured bacterium
Lineage: Bacteria
Description: partial 16S ribosomal RNA
Rfam family: Bacterial small subunit ribosomal RNA
Source: RNAcentral